UGACGAGAAGACCCCGUCAAACUUUAAUUAUCAUAUAUAAAAGUGAAAAUAUAAAAUAUAUAUUAAUUUUAGUUGGGGCAACUGGGAGGGAUAAAAAUCUUUUAUUAAAUCAUUUAUAGUAAUAUUUAUAUUUAUGAUCCAAAUUAGUUAAUUUUGAACUUAGAAU
RNAcentral lists this ribosomal RNA (166 nucleotides) under Ledella ultima. Its description in RNAcentral is "partial 16S ribosomal RNA". Lineage: Eukaryota; Metazoa; Mollusca; Bivalvia; Nuculanida sp.; Nuculanidae. The record is from RNAcentral.